AAAUUUAAGCAGAACAUAAACUUCUUUUUUCACUCAAUGUAAUUCAAAUUACACAUAAACUUCCAUUGUUGCAUACAUUUAGAAUGUUCCAUCUAAGUUCUACUCUUACAAACCCUUAAAACUAGAAAAUAAACACAACAACAAAUAACUACUCCUAUGAGAAACUUCAUAUGCUUCCUUAUGCUGUCAACAUUUUUCUUCAUCUCUUCAAUCUCUUUUGAACACAUAGUAGAAGCAAAUUCCUUUUCAAAUUCUUUCCCGAAAUCUUUGUCAAUUUUUUGCAAAUGCUUUAUCAUCAUGUCACACCGACUGCAUCCAUCUUCAUCUCUUGGACUUGUUUU
Molecule: long non-coding RNA, 341 nt
Filed under: Lathyrus oleraceus (garden pea)
Lineage: Eukaryota; Viridiplantae; Streptophyta; Magnoliopsida; Fabales; Fabaceae
Description: Pisum sativum (pea) long non-coding RNA (PSAT_LNC032911)
Source: RNAcentral